AAUCCUUUCCCAACGGGAUGCGAGAUCACUGGACGUUUAUGCUCUGCUGCCCGGGGGUUGGAGGAGGGGAGCCUUGACUGGGCUUCAGCCGGCCAGGAAAAGCAGCUG
Long non-coding RNA from Nothoprocta perdicaria, 108 nucleotides. RefSeq lists it as uncharacterized. The transcript has 2 exons. The record is from RefSeq and is a predicted model, not a curated record. NCBI's taxonomy places the organism in Eukaryota, Metazoa, Chordata, Aves, Tinamiformes, Tinamidae.